AACGGCGAGUGAAGCGGCAACAGCUCAAAUUUGAAAUCUGGCUCUCAGGGCCCGAGUUGUAAUUUGUAGAGGAUGCUUUUGGCGAGGUGCCUUCCGAGUUCCCUGGAACGGGACGCCACAGAGGGUGAGAGCCCCGUAUGGUCGGACACCGAGCCUCUGUAAAGCUCCUUCGACGAGUCGAGUAGUUUGGGAAUGCUGCUCAAAAUGGGAGGUAUAUGUCUUCUAAAGCUAAAUAUUGGCCAGAGACCGAUAGCGCACAAGUAGAGUGAUCGAAAGAUGAAAAGCACUUUGAAAAGAGGGUUAAAAAGUACGUGAAAUUGUUGAAAGGGAAGCGCCUAUGACCAGACUUGCGCCCGGUGAAUCACCCAGCGUUCUCGCUGGUGCACUUUGCCGGGCACAGGCCAGCAUCAGUUCAGCGCGGGGGAGAAAGGCUUCGGGAAUGUGGCUCCCUCGGGAGUGUUAUAGCCCGCUGCGUAAUGCCCUGCGCCGGACUGAGGUACGCGCAUUGCAAGGAUGCUGGCGUAAUGGUCAUCAGCGACCCGUCUUGAAACACGGACCAAGGAGUCGUCUUCGUAUGCGAGUGUUCGGGUGUCAAACCCCUACGCGUAAUGAAAGUGAACGUAGGUGAGAGCUUCGGCGCAUCACCGACCGAUCCUGAUGUUCUCGGAUGGAUUUGAGUAAGAGCAUACGGGGCCGGACCCGAAAGAAGGUGAACUAUGCCUGUAUAGGGUGAAGCCAGAGGAAACUCUGGUGGAGGCUCGCAGCGGUUCUGACGUGCGAAUCGAUCGUCAAAUAUGGGCAUGGGGGCGAAAGACUAAUCGAACCUUCUAGUAGCUGGUUUCCGCCGAAGUUUCCCUCAGGAUAGCAGUGUUGAACUCAGUUUUAUGAGGUAAAGCGAAUGAUUAGGGACUCGGGGGCGCUAUAUUGCCUUCAUCCAUUCUCAAACUUUAAAUAUGUAAGAAGCCCUUGUUACUUGAUUGAACGUGGGCAUUCGAAUGUAUCAACACUAGUGGGCCAUUUUUGUAAGCAGAACUGGCGAUGCGGGAUGAACCGAACGCGAGGUUAAGGUGCCGGAGUGGACGCUCAUCAGACACCACAAAAGGUGUUAGUACAUCUUGACAGCAGGACGGUGGCCAUGGAAGUCGGAAUCCGCUAAGGACUGUGUAACAACUCACCUGCCGAAUGUACUAGCCCUGAAAAUGGAUGGCGCUCAAGCGUUCCACCCAUACCUCGCCCUCAGGGUAGGAACGAAGCCCUGAGGAGUAGGCGGACGUGGAGGUCAGUGACG
Molecule: ribosomal RNA, 1288 nt
Filed under: Beauveria bassiana
Lineage: Eukaryota; Fungi; Ascomycota; Sordariomycetes; Hypocreales; Cordycipitaceae
Description: partial large subunit ribosomal RNA
Rfam family: Eukaryotic large subunit ribosomal RNA
Source: RNAcentral